UGGGGAAUAUUGGGCAAUGGGCGAAAGCCUGACCCAGCGACGCCGCGUGAGGGAAGAAGAUCUUCGGAUUGUAAACCUUAGUCAACAGGGACGAAGAAAGAGACGGUACCUGUGGAGGAAGCCACGGCUAACUACGUGCCAGCAGCCGCGGUAAUACGUAGGUGGCGAGCGUUAUCCGGAAUUACUGGGUGUAAAGGGUGUGUAGGCGGGCCGGCAAGUCAGAUGUGAAAACUAUGGGCUUAACCCAUAGCCUGCAUUUGAAACUGCAGGUCUUGAGAGUGGGAGAGGUAAACGGAAUUCCCGGUGUAGCAGUGAAAUGCGUAGAUAUCGGGAGGAACAUCGGUGGCGAAGGCGGUUUACUGGACCACAACUGACGCUGAGACACGAAAGCGUGGGGAGCAAACAGG
This 407-nucleotide ribosomal RNA is filed under the name uncultured bacterium. Its description in RNAcentral is "bacterial SSU rRNA". It matches the Rfam family "Bacterial small subunit ribosomal RNA", at positions 355 to 776 of the family's 1533-position model. The record is from RNAcentral.